GUGUCAGUAGUGCAACGGAUUGGAGCACGCUCUCCUGCAAAGAGUAAGAUGUGGGUUCGAGUUCCGCCUGACUCG
Parelaphostrongylus tenuis is the source of this 75-nucleotide non-coding RNA. Lineage: Eukaryota; Metazoa; Nematoda; Chromadorea; Rhabditida; Metastrongylidae. The record is from the annotation of a GenBank genome assembly.